RNAcentral lists this transfer RNA (60 nucleotides) under Pelecinus polyturator. RNAcentral's name for it is "tRNA-His". The record is from RNAcentral. Lineage: Eukaryota; Metazoa; Arthropoda; Insecta; Hymenoptera; Pelecinidae.
UUUAAAUAGUUUAAAAAAAAUAAUAAUUUGUGGAGUUAGAGAUAUUUAAGAAUUUUAAAU